AGUAAGGAUAGUACUCAGAUGGUAGAGCGGUGAGAUAAUAUCAAAAGCUGGUAUCGGAGGUUCGAGUCCUCCCCUUACUA
This 80-nucleotide transfer RNA is filed under the name Caudoviricetes sp. Its description in RNAcentral is "tRNA-OTHER". Lineage: Duplodnaviria; Heunggongvirae; Uroviricota; Caudoviricetes. The record is from RNAcentral.